RNAcentral lists this ribosomal RNA (253 nucleotides) under uncultured bacterium. Its description in RNAcentral is "partial 16S ribosomal RNA". It matches the Rfam family "Bacterial small subunit ribosomal RNA", at positions 524 to 776 of the family's 1533-position model. The record is from RNAcentral.
GACGAACCGUGCGAACGUUGUUCGGAAUCACUGGGCUUAAAGGGCGCGUAGGCGGGCCGCCGCGUCCGGGGUGAAAUCCCCCCGCUCAACGGGGGAACGGCCUCGGAUACGGGCAGCCUGGAGGCGGGUAGGGGCACGCGGAACUGUGGGUGGAGCGGUGAAAUGCGUUGAGAUCCACAGGAACUCCGGUGGCGAAGGCGGCGUGCUGGACCCGUCCUGACGCUGAGGCGCGAAAGCCAGGGGAGCAAACGGG